UCCCUGGUGGCUCAGUGGUAAAGAAUCUGCCUGCCAAUGCAGGAGACCUGGGUUCAAUCCCUGGUUUGGGAA
RNAcentral lists this transfer RNA (72 nucleotides) under Ovis aries (sheep). It matches the Rfam family "tRNA". From Rfam's summary of the family: Transfer RNA (tRNA) molecules are approximately 80 nucleotides in length. Their secondary structure includes four short double-helical elements and three loops (D, anti-codon, and T loops). The record is from Rfam by way of RNAcentral. Lineage: Eukaryota; Metazoa; Chordata; Mammalia; Artiodactyla; Bovidae.